CUGGGACUGAGACACGGCCCAGACUCCUACGGGAGGCAGCAGUGGGGAAUUUUGGACAAUGGGGGAAACCCUGAUCCAGCAAUGCCGCGUGAGUGAAGAAGGCCUUCGGGUUGUAAAGCUCUUUCAGUUGAGAAGAAAAGGUUGUGACUAAUAAUCAUAAUUUAUGACGGUAUCAACAGAAGAAGCACCGGCUAACUACGUGCCAGCAGCCGCGGUAAUACGUAGGGUGCAAGCGUUAAUCGGAAUUACUGGGCGUAAAGGGUGCGCAGGCGGUUAUGUAAGUCAGAUGUGAAAUCCCCGGGCUUAACCUGGGAAUGGCGUU
Molecule: ribosomal RNA, 322 nt
Filed under: uncultured bacterium
Lineage: Bacteria
Description: bacterial SSU rRNA
Rfam family: Bacterial small subunit ribosomal RNA
Source: RNAcentral